RNAcentral lists this ribosomal RNA (468 nucleotides) under uncultured bacterium. Its description in RNAcentral is "partial 16S ribosomal RNA". It matches the Rfam family "Bacterial small subunit ribosomal RNA", at positions 28 to 507 of the family's 1533-position model. The record is from RNAcentral.
GACGAACGCUGGCGGCGUGCUUAACACAUGCAAGUCGAACGGAAAGGCCCUGCUUUUGUGGGGUGCUCGAGUGGCGAACGGGUGAGUAACACGUGAGUAACCUGCCCUUGACUUUGGGAUAACUUCAGGAAACUGGGGCUAAUACCGGAUAGGAGCUCCUGCUGCAUGGUGGGGGUUGGAAAGUUUCGGCGGUUGGGGAUGGACUCGCGGCUUAUCAGCUUGUUGGUGGGGUAGUGGCUUACCAAGGCUUUGACGGGUAGCCGGCCUGAGAGGGUGACCGGCCACAUUGGGACUGAGAUACGGCCCAGACUCGUACGGGAGGCAGCAGUGGGGAAUAUUGCACAAUGGGCGGAAGCGUGAUGCAGCAACGCCGCGUGCGGGAUGACGGCCUUCGGGUUGUAAACCGCUUUCGCCUGUGACGAAGCGUGAGUGACGGUAAUGGGUAAAGAAGCACCGGCUAACUACGUG